GCCACACCAUGAUCUCCAGCUUGCUGGGGGGAUUAGUGGCGAACGGGUGAGUAACACGUGAGUAACCUGCCCUUGACUCUGGGAUAAGCCUGGGAAACUGGGUCUAAUACCGGAUAUGACCAUUCCGCGCAUGCGGUGGUGGUGGAAAGCUUUUGCGGUUUUGGAUGGACUCGCGGCCUAUCAGCUUGUUGGUGGGGUAAUGGCCUACCAAGGCGACGACGGGUAGCCGGCCUGAGAGGGUGACCGGCCACACUGGGACUGAGACACGGCCCAGACUCCUACGGGAGGCAGCAGUGGGGAAUAUUGCACAAUGGGCGCAAGCCUGAUGCAGCGACGCCGCGUGAGGGAUGACGGCCUUCGGGUUGUAAACCUCUUUCAGUAGGGAAGAAGCGAAAGUGACGGUACCUGCAGAAGAAGCGCCGGCUAACUACGUGCCAGCAGCCGCGGUAAUACGUAGGGCGCAAGCGUUAUCCGGAAUUAUUGGGCGUAAAGAGCUCGUAGGCGGUUUGUCGCGUCUGCUGUGAAAGACCGGGGCUCAACUCCGGUUCUGCAGUGGGUACGGGCAGACUAGAGUGAUGUAGGGGAGACUGGAAUUCCUGGUGUAGCGGUGAAAUGCGCAGAUAUCAGGAGGAACACCGAUGGCGAAGGCAGGUCUCUGGGCAUUAACUGACGCUGAGGAGCGAAAGCAUGGGGAGCGAACAGGAUUAGAUACCCUGGUAGUCCAUGCCGUAAACGUUGGGCACUAGGUGUGGGGGACAUUCCACGUUUUCCGCGCCGUAGCUAACGCAUUAAGUGCCCCGCCUGGGGAGUACGGCCGCAAGGCUAAAACUCAAAGGAAUUGACGGGGGCCCGCACAAGCGGCGGAGCAUGCGGAUUAAUUCGAUGCAACGCGAAGAACCUUACCAAGGCUUGACAUGAACCGGUAACGCCUGGAAACAGGUGCCCCGCUUGCGGUCGGUUUACAGGUGGUGCAUGGUUGUCGUCAGCUCGUGUCGUGAGAUGUUGGGUUAAGUCCCGCAACGAGCGCAACCCUCGUUCUAUGUUGCCAGCGGUUCGGCCGGGGACUCAUAGGAGACUGCCGGGGUCAACUCGGAGGAAGGUGGGGACGACGUCAAAUCAUCAUGCCCCUUAUGUCUUGGGCUUCACGCAUGCUACAAUGGCCGGUACAAAGGGUUGCGAUACUGUGAGGUGGAGCUAAUCCCAAAAAGCCGGUCUCAGUUCGGAUUGGGGUCUGCAACUCGACCACCAUGAAGUCGGUGUAGUUAGUCUUGCUGA
This 1275-nucleotide ribosomal RNA is filed under the name Arthrobacter sp. RNAcentral describes it as "bacterial SSU rRNA". It matches the Rfam family "Bacterial small subunit ribosomal RNA", at positions 61 to 1347 of the family's 1533-position model. Lineage: Bacteria; Bacillati; Actinomycetota; Actinomycetes; Micrococcales; Micrococcaceae. The record is from RNAcentral.